CACGCUGUAAACGAUGAGUGCUAGAUGUCGGGAAUUUAUUCUCGGUUUCGCAGCUAACGCAUUAAGCACUCCGCCUGGGGACUACGAUCGCAAGAUUAAAACUCAAAGGAAUUGACGGGGGCUCGCACAAGUGGUGGAGCAUGCGGUUUAAUUCGAUGCUACGCGAAAAACCUUACCAACCCUUGACAUGGUGGUCGCGGGGACCAGAGAUGGACCCCUUCAGUUCGGCUGGACCACACACAGGUGU
Molecule: ribosomal RNA, 247 nt
Filed under: uncultured bacterium
Lineage: Bacteria
Description: partial 16S ribosomal RNA
Rfam family: Bacterial small subunit ribosomal RNA
Source: RNAcentral